Poecilia latipinna (sailfin molly) is the source of this 741-nucleotide long non-coding RNA. RefSeq lists it as uncharacterized. NCBI's taxonomy places the organism in Eukaryota, Metazoa, Chordata, Actinopteri, Cyprinodontiformes, Poeciliidae. The transcript has 2 exons. The record is from RefSeq and is a predicted model, not a curated record.
CUACAGUAAGCUGCAGUAAGCUAUAGUAAGCUGUAGUAAACUAGUAAGCUGUAGUAAACUGCACUGUAGUAAACUAAUAAACCACAGUAAACUGUCGUAAACUGCUGUAAACUGUAGUGAAGGAUCUGUGAGGCUGUGCAGCUCUGCUGUGGUUGGAGUUCCUGAUUUGACUAGACGCACUCAGUGACAGAUGCUGGUGGUCCUCUCCUCCAGGCUGCUUCCUGUGGAGGGGGCGGGAUCACCUUGUCACUUCCUACUCUGCCCGCUGGGAAACCAGCAGCAGCAGCAGGCUGGACGUUCACACUGCUCCUCUGACUCAGCAUCAUGCUGCUUUCUGUCUGCAAUCUGCUGCCAUUACCAAUGUUUCAUUUUGUCAAUGAUGCAAAGAAUUGAAAAGGAUCUGAACGCACCAGGAGACAAACCUCUGGACCCUGGAGACGAUCCCAAGAUUAUUAAAUUAUUUUUUUGUUAAAAUUUUACAAAAACUGAACUGGAGAAAACAUUUUGUUAAGCAAUAGAAAUAAAAUGUUAAUGGGGAAAAAUAUAACUAAAACAUACUUAAAUUCGUAUUUAUGUUUAUUUGUAUCCAUUUAUCAACCUUUUAAACUGAUGUGAAACAAGCAGUUUAUGUCAGCUGAAUUACGGCUCUCCAUUUUCCUCCUGGCGGCUACGCUACGCUAAGCUGGUCUGCAAAUUGAAUCCAUAUGAGUAUUUGUAAUGUAAAUGCAGUGUAAAAAUAAU